RNAcentral lists this ribosomal RNA (403 nucleotides) under bacterium. RNAcentral describes it as "partial 16S ribosomal RNA". It matches the Rfam family "Bacterial small subunit ribosomal RNA", at positions 355 to 776 of the family's 1533-position model. The record is from RNAcentral.
UGGGGAAUAUUGCACAAUGGGGGAAACCCUGAUGCAGCGACGCCGCGUGAACGAAGAAGGUAUUCGUAUCGUAAAGUUCUGUCCUAUGGGAAGAUAAUGACAGUACCAUAGAAGAAAGCUCCGGCUAAAUACGUGCCAGCAGCCGCGGUAAUACGUAUGGAGCGAGCGUUGUCCGGAAUGAUUGGGCGUAAAGGGUACGCAGGCGGUUUAAUAAGUCGAAUGUUAAAGAUCGGGGCUCAACCCCGCAAAGCAUUGGAAACUGAUAAACUUGAGUAGUGGAGAGGAAAGUGGAAUUCCUAGUGUAGUGGUGAAAUGCGUAGAUAUUAGGAGGAAUACCAGUAGCGAAGGCGACUUUCUGGACACAAACUGACGCUGAGGUACGAAAGCGUGGGGAGCAAACAGG